GCCGCGCCUGAAGCUCAACUUCCGAGGCUCUGCUCAAUCUACGCUUCCUUUAGAGCGUGCAGCCACCAGGUGGCAGCCGAGGCCACGGGCAGACGAAAAGCUCCCGAAACUGAAGGCCUGCCAGGCAGCAGAGUUCCGAAGGGCUCCCAGGACCUUCAACCAGAAAGAGACAGUGAGCAUAUGCGCAUGUCCCUGCAAGGAAUGUACUACAGAGCCAAUUUUACUGGCAAACGAAUGGAAGAUCUGAAAGGCUAGGCGAUCCCACAGGCAGUGAGGAGCAGGCUGGAAUUUGAACCAAUCGGCAUGAUUCCCAAGCUCAAGCUUUUGGUCACCCACGCACUGCCAGGGACAAAAAACAACAACAACAACAAAAAAAAACCUGGGAGGAGAGCCAAGCUGGGGAGUCAAGACCCCCCAGCUAGGUCUGGAUGGGAGGCAGGUGCCUCCACCCUGGUCCCAGAGCAAGUUCUGCUGGCUUCAGCCACCUGACUUCCCUGUGAAGUUGGGCAGAGGCCAGAGCAGACUGUGUGAUUCUGGCCCCAGCCCCAGCACCUCUACCCCCCAUCUUUACUACCCCUAGGCUGCGGGAAGAGGCUUUGUCCAGCAGUAGUCCUGAUCUUAUGGCUCCUUGAAGCACAAUAAACAGAUAGUAUUUCUGCAUAUGUCA
This 667-nucleotide non-coding RNA is filed under the name Pongo abelii (Sumatran orangutan). Lineage: Eukaryota; Metazoa; Chordata; Mammalia; Primates; Hominidae. The record is from RNAcentral.